CGGGGUGAGUAACGCGUGGGUAACCUGCCUCAUACAGGGGGAUAACAGUUAGAAAUGACUGCUAAUACCGCAUAAGCGCACAGGACCGCAUGGUCAAGUGUGAAAAACUCCGGUGGUAUGAGAUGGACCCGCGUCUGAUUAGCUGGUUGGUGAGGUAACGGCCCACCAAGGCGACGAUCAGUAGCCGACCUGAGAGGGUGGCCGGCCACAUUGGGACUGAGACACGGCCCAAACUCCUACGGAAGGCAGCAG
Molecule: ribosomal RNA, 252 nt
Filed under: uncultured bacterium
Lineage: Bacteria
Description: partial 16S ribosomal RNA
Rfam family: Bacterial small subunit ribosomal RNA
Source: RNAcentral